GGCAACCUGGCCGAGCGGUCUAAGGCGCCAGGUUAAGGUAUAUCCUGGUCUCUUCGGAGGCGAGAGUUCGAAUCUCUCGGUUGUCA
RNAcentral lists this transfer RNA (86 nucleotides) under Yarrowia sp. B02. RNAcentral describes it as "tRNA-Leu". It matches the Rfam family "tRNA". From Rfam's summary of the family: Transfer RNA (tRNA) molecules are approximately 80 nucleotides in length. Their secondary structure includes four short double-helical elements and three loops (D, anti-codon, and T loops). Further hydrogen bonds mediate the characteristic L-shaped molecular structure. tRNAs have two regions of fundamental functional importance: the anti-codon, which is responsible for specific mRNA codon recognition, and the 3' end, to which the tRNAs corresponding amino acid is attached (by aminoacyl-tRNA synthetases). tRNAs cope with the degeneracy of the genetic code in two manners: having more than one tRNA (with a specific anti-codon) for a particular amino acid; and 'wobble' base-pairing, i.e. permitting non-standard base-pairing at the 3rd anti-codon position. Lineage: Eukaryota; Fungi; Ascomycota; Dipodascomycetes; Dipodascales. The record is from RNAcentral.